AAGUCGUAACAAGGUUUCCGUAGGUGAACCUGCGGAAGGAUCAUUACCGAGUGGCGCGAAAUUCCUGUCGUGAGACGGGGAAGCUACCCGACCUUUUGUCAUUUUGUCAAGUCUGGCUGGCGGGAUUGCAUUCGUGAGAAGCGAAUGUGGAUUUCGGCAGACGGACCAAAACUUCGGCGGAAGAGGUAGGCGUGGACCUGCCCGCCGCCGGCCGUAGAAGACAAUAUACAUUCUUGAGAGCAAACUGAAGUCUAAGACGAUCCUUGAAAAAGGAAUACCAAAAAAAAGCAAAACUUUCAACAACGGAUCUCUUGGCUCUG
This 320-nucleotide unclassified non-coding RNA is filed under the name fungal sp. RNAcentral describes it as "partial internal transcribed spacer region". The stretch from base 1 to 46 matches the Rfam family "Eukaryotic small subunit ribosomal RNA", at positions 1786 to 1831 of the family's 1831-position model. Lineage: Eukaryota; Fungi. The record is from RNAcentral.